This 465-nucleotide ribosomal RNA is filed under the name Vreelandella stevensii. Its description in RNAcentral is "partial 16S ribosomal RNA". It matches the Rfam family "Bacterial small subunit ribosomal RNA", at positions 338 to 795 of the family's 1533-position model. The record is from RNAcentral. Lineage: Bacteria; Pseudomonadati; Pseudomonadota; Gammaproteobacteria; Oceanospirillales; Halomonadaceae.
CCUACGGGUGGCAGCAGUGGGGAAUAUUGGACAAUGGGGGGAACCCUGAUCCAGCCAUGCCGCGUGUGUGAAGAAGGCCCUCGGGUUGUAAAGCACUUUCAGUGAGGAAGAACGCCUGGUGGUUCAUACCCAUCAGGAAAGACAUCACUCACAGAAGAAGCACCGGCUAACUCCGUGCCAGCAGCCGCGGUAAUACGGAGGGUGCGAGCGUUAAUCGGAAUUACUGGGCGUAAAGCGCGCGUAGGUGGCUUGAUAAGCCGGUUGUGAAAGCCCCGGGCUCAACCUGGGAACGGCAUCCGGAACUUUCAAGCUAGAGUGCAGGAGAGGAAGGUAGAAGUCCCGGUGUAGCGGUGAAAUGCGUAGAGAUCGGGAGGAAUACCAGUGGCGAAGGCGGCCUUCUGGACUGACACUGACACUGAGGUGCGAAAGCGUGGGUAGCAAACAGGAUUAGAUACCCGAGUAGUC